AACUGAUAAAGGCAAACUUGUUGAAAGACAAGGACGCAAAGCCACGGGUCUAAAGCGGUAUACCGCUAUGAUGGCCGGGUUGCCGGA
RNAcentral lists this non-coding RNA (87 nucleotides) under Acetivibrio clariflavus. RNAcentral describes it as "Clostridium clariflavum c-di-GMP sequence". It matches the Rfam family "c-di-GMP-I riboswitch aptamer". From Rfam's summary of the family: GEMM was predicted in a large-scale screen for bacterial structured RNA regulatory elements. Genes associated with GEMM are involved in a diverse array of functions, including chemotaxis regulation, signal transduction, secretion and chitin. Lineage: Bacteria; Bacillati; Bacillota; Clostridia; Acetivibrionales; Acetivibrionaceae. The record is from RNAcentral. RNAcentral also lists the same sequence under 2 other names.